UUUCUUGUAAAAUAAUUUUUAUAAAGCUAUCGGUAAAUAAUUCUUAUAGCGUAAAAAUUAAUUAUAUUUAUAUAUACUAUAAAGCAAAUAACCAAAGUAUAUAAUUACUUUUACAGUGAAACGUAGGCCCACAUCUAAUCAAAAUGCAUCAAAAGCUGAAAACCGACAACUUUUGUCGAUUCAAGUCCAAAUAAAGAUCCUUGUCAAAGUUUGCUAACUAUGAAAUUCCUCGAGCCUGAAAUGUGAGGAAAUGAGGGUGGUGAGAUUAUAAAAUCCCAGUGAGUAAACAAAUAUCAUUUAAAAUAUCUAAAGGUGAAUAAAAGAAGACUAUUAAAAUAUUUCAUCAAACUGUAAUUUAUCAUCUUUCAACUUAUUUCAACCAAAUGAAAUCAAUUUAUUUAAAUCAAGUAAUCAGUAUGGCUUGUCAAUUUCUUAAAAAGCUUGGCUCAUGCAAAAAAUUAUUAUCAUACUCAGUUAUCUAGAAUACCUUGGUCGAGGGCUAUCCCAACUGAGUCCGUCAAGGCUAUUCGAAAGUCAUGUUUUUAUUUUGAAAACAUAACCGUUCCUUGGCGUUGGCCGAGUUCCCCCUCACAUGGUGGUUUGACGUGGAGUGAACUCUAAAAGUUAUACCUCGAGAGUUACCUUACUCGCCUCUCCAACCGAGGUAAAAUAUAAUAGGAUUCUGUACCCCUCUAAUAGGCUAGUCCACAAAACCUAACCCACUGCAACAGGUCAAAACCACCAUACAAUAAAAUUUUGACAGCAUGACAAGGCUAAUAUAUUACUACCCAGCCUGUAGGGAUAAAAUAAAGCAAUUCAUACAAUUCAUAAAACACAGCCCAGCUAGUCAUGCCAAUACAAUAACAUAAGCCAUCAAUUAAAUUUUAAAUUUACAACAUAUCAGUGGUCUCCAAUUACUCUAUUUUCAAAAUCGUUAUUUCGUUUCAAGACAAUUUAUAAAAUAUUUUCAUUUAAACUCAUUUUUGUUUAUAAAACCUAAAAUUAACCAUUUAAAAUCAUUUUCAUACAAUUUCACCAAAACCGAAUUAAAACAUACUUUAGAUAAUUAAAAUGAUGAUAAGGUUACUCACAGUACUAGGAGUUCGAUAUACUCCUAUUUUCGAUCUUCGAGCACAAUCUCUUUACCUUUGUUAGAGGGCUCACCACCUUGACACAGUACAAAAUCGAGAAACUUACUACAUUGGUACUAAAUUGAAAUUAAAUUAAUUUAAACUACUAAUGCAUGAUAUGGAAUGCAAAAUGUCCGAUUAAUCGCUUAAAUGUGAUCUUCGACCUAAAUCACACUAUACUCGGUCUAAUCGGCUAAAAUCUCCAAUUUAACUCUAAAUCAAUUCUUAUCACUAUCUACACUCCAAUUAUACCUAAAUUACCUCAGUGAUUGUGAAUGAGAUUCAAUUUAUCAGUCCCGGAUCAAUAAUCACACUUAUCUAUACAUUGAGCAAAAAUUCAGAUUUUCACACCAAAAUUUCCCAUUUAAUUUCUAGUCUCACCAAACAUCAAAUAUCACCAAAAUAUCAUGAAAUAUCAUCAAUUUCAGCCACAAUAUCCUCCCUAGGAAAUUCGACCAUUGAUUGUUGAUGGGGAAAAUGAAUUCUUUUCUUAUUGUUUUGUUUCUAAAUAUGCAAAACUAACUAAAAACACUAACAUAACUUAAAAUCAAAUCAAUCUAACAUCUUUUUCUCUCCAUACCCAUUUUGACCAGCCAUGAAUUCACCAUGAAAACAUGAAAUCUAACCAUGAAAAAUAAGGAGAAAUGCAUGGGAAAGGUAUAUCACAAGUCAAAAUCAAGAAAUUUUACCUUUGAUUGAUUGAUUACUUAAAAUCCAUCAAUUUUCCCUUGAAUUUUCCCACCUAGGAUUCUUGUUCUUCUUUUCCUCUCUUUGUUCUUGCUAUGGCCGGC
RNAcentral lists this long non-coding RNA (1921 nucleotides) under Theobroma cacao (cacao). RNAcentral describes it as "long non-coding RNA (TCAC_LNC002049)". The record is from RNAcentral. Lineage: Eukaryota; Viridiplantae; Streptophyta; Magnoliopsida; Malvales; Malvaceae.